Molecule: ribosomal RNA, 503 nt
Filed under: uncultured bacterium
Lineage: Bacteria
Description: partial 16S ribosomal RNA
Rfam family: Bacterial small subunit ribosomal RNA
Source: RNAcentral
AUUGAACGCUGGCGGCAGGCUUAACACAUGCAAGUCGAGCGGGGUGAUGGUGCUUGCACUAUCACUUAGCGGCGGACGGGUGAGUAAUGCUUAGGAAUCUGCCUAUUAGUGGGGGACAACAUCUCGAAAGGGAUGCUAAUACCGCAUACGUCCUACGGGAGAAAGCAGGGGAUCACUUGUGACCUUGCGCUAAUAGAUGAGCCUAAGUCGGAAUAGCUAGUUGGUGGGGUAAAGGCCUACCAAGGCGACGAUCUGUAGCGGGUCUGAGAGGAUGAGCCGCCACACUGGGACGGAGACACGGCCCAGACUCCUACGGGAGGCAGCAGUGGGGAAUAUUGGACAAUGGGGGGAACCCUGAUCCAGCCAUGCCGCGUGUGUGAAGAAGGCCUUAUGGUUGUAAAGCACUUUAAGCGAGGAGGAGGCUCUUUUGGUUAAUACCCAAGAUGAGUGGACGUUACUCGCAGAAUAAGCACCGGCUAACUCUGUGCCAGCCGCCGCGGUAA